This 253-nucleotide ribosomal RNA is filed under the name uncultured bacterium. Its description in RNAcentral is "partial 16S ribosomal RNA". It matches the Rfam family "Bacterial small subunit ribosomal RNA", at positions 524 to 776 of the family's 1533-position model. The record is from RNAcentral.
UACGAAGGGUGCAACCGUUGCUCGGAAUCAUUGGGCGUAAAGCGCACGUAGGCGGCCUCAAAAGUCGGAUGUGAAAUCCCGUGGCUCAACCAUGGACGUGCAUUCGAAACUGCGAGGCUUGAGUAUGGAAGAGGGUCGCGGAAUUCCCGGUGUAGAGGUGAAAUUCGUAGAUAUCGGGAGGAACACCUAUGGCGAAAGCAGGUUUCUGGGCCAUCACUGACGCUGAUCUGCGAAAGCUAGGGGAGCAAACAGG